UACGUAGGACCCAAGCGUUAUCCGGAGUGACUGGGCGUAAAGAGUUGCGUAGGUGGUCAGUAAAGCGAAUAGUGAAAUCUGGGGGCUCAACCUCACAGGCUAUUAUUCGAACUCACUGACUCGAGAACAGCAGAGGUAACUGGAAUUUCUGAAGUAGGGGUAAUAUCCGUAGAUAUCAGAAGGAACACCAAUGGCGUAGGCAGGUUACUGGGCUGUUUCUGACACUGAGGCACGAAAGCGUGGGGAGCGAACCGG
RNAcentral lists this ribosomal RNA (255 nucleotides) under uncultured bacterium. RNAcentral describes it as "partial 16S ribosomal RNA". It matches the Rfam family "Bacterial small subunit ribosomal RNA", at positions 524 to 776 of the family's 1533-position model. The record is from RNAcentral.